GGCAAAGUCUUGGACAGGAUUCCUCUGCAGCUGGGGAAGAAUGGAUGGAGAGAGAGAGAGAGAGAGAGAGGAUGAAUGCACCAUUGUAUGCUCACUUCAUAUCUGCACCGACUGCCUCCGCCAAGAGUCCAGUUACCCCAAUUGUGUUGGAGAAACAUCUAAAGGAAGCUGAUAUGGGGUUUCAGAGGGUUUAAUGGGGGUUUGGGGUGGAGGAGGGCGAGAGAGAGAGAGAGAGAGAGAAUUGGUUACCUGGUUUCCAGUCAGGAAUGAGUCUGUCUGCCUCAGGCCUGGAUCCCCAGACUUCUCUCUCUCCAUCAGACGCGCUGCAGAGCUUCAGCCAUGGCUCUGGAUCCAUGACACUGUGUUUGUGCUGUCGUUUAGUGAAUGAUCACCCUACUAAUGGACUGACAUGGGUUGGUUAAUUAGUGGAAGCAGGUUACUGAAAAACCUUCUACAAGUGAUUCACCUGAACAAGAGGAAGACUGAGUCAAAGAUAUCGAGCUGUGGAGGAGUGAGAGUUCUGAGAGAGAGA
This is a long non-coding RNA of Cyprinus carpio carpio, 532 nucleotides long. The record is from Ensembl. NCBI's taxonomy places the organism in Eukaryota, Metazoa, Chordata, Actinopteri, Cypriniformes, Cyprinidae.